UUUUAACGGCCGCAGUAUACUGACUGUGCAAAGGUACAUAGUCUUUUAAUUGAAGGCUUGAAUGAAUGGUUGGACGAGAUAUUAACUGUUUCAUUUAAAUUUAUAAUAGAAUUUUAUUUUUUAGUCAAAAAGCUAAAAUAAUUUUAAAAGACGAGAAGACCCUAUAAAUCUUUAUAUUUAAUUUAUUAUGAAUUUUUAGAUUAUUUUUUUUAUAAUAAUUAUAAUAUUUUAUUGGGGUGAUAUUAAAAUUUAAUAAACUUUUAAUUUUUUAUUACAUUAAUUUAUGAUUUAUUGAUCCAUUAUUAUUGAUUAAAAAUUUAAGUUACUUUAGGGAUAACAGCGUAAUUUUUUUGGAGAGUUCAUAUCGAUAAAAAAUAUUGCGACCUCGAUGUUGGAUUAAGAUAUAAUUUUAGGUGUAGCUGCUUAAAUUUUAAGUCUGUUCGACUUUUAAUUUCUUAC
RNAcentral lists this ribosomal RNA (459 nucleotides) under Lispe nana. RNAcentral's name for it is "partial 16S ribosomal RNA". The stretch from base 333 to 459 matches the Rfam family "Bacterial large subunit ribosomal RNA", at positions 2473 to 2599 of the family's 2925-position model. Lineage: Eukaryota; Metazoa; Arthropoda; Insecta; Diptera; Muscidae. The record is from RNAcentral.